GACGAACGCUGGCGGCGUGCUUAACACAUGCAAGUCGAACGAUGAAACCUAGCUUGCUAGGUCGAUUAGUGGCGAACGGGUGAGUAACACGUGACUAACCUGCCCCUUUCUCUGGGAUAACGCUCCGAAAGGAGCGCUAAUACCGGAUACUCACACCGAGGCACAUGCCUUGGGGUGGAAAGUUUUUCGGAAAGGGAUGGAGUCGCGGCCUAUCAGCUUGUUGGUGAGGUAACAGCUCACCAAGGCGACGACGGGUAGCCGGCCUGAGAGGGCGACCGGCCGCACUGGGACUGAGACACGGCCCCGACUCCUGCGGGAGGCAGCAGUGGGGAAUAUUGCACAGUGGGCGGAAGCCUGAUGCAGCGACGCCGCGUGAGGGAUGAAGGUCUUCGGAUUGUAAACCUCUUUCAGUAGGGACGAAGCGAAAGUGACGGUACCUAAAGAAGAAGCACCGGCUAACUACGUGCCAGCCGCCGCCGUAA
Molecule: ribosomal RNA, 482 nt
Filed under: uncultured bacterium
Lineage: Bacteria
Description: partial 16S ribosomal RNA
Rfam family: Bacterial small subunit ribosomal RNA
Source: RNAcentral